UACGUAGGAGACGAGCGUUGUCCGGAGUUAUUGGGCGUAAAGGGUGCGCAGGCGGCCCCGCGCGUGGACAGGUGAAAGCUCCUGGCUCAACUAGGAGAGGUGUGUCCAGACGGCGGGGCUUGAGGGUCGUAGAGGGGCGUGGAACUCCGGGUGGAGCGGUGAAAUGCGUAGAGAUCCGGAAGAACACCGACGGCGUAAGCAGCGCCCUGGGCGACACCUGACGCUCAGGCACGAAAGCUCGGGGAGCAAACAGG
RNAcentral lists this ribosomal RNA (254 nucleotides) under uncultured prokaryote. Its description in RNAcentral is "partial 16S ribosomal RNA". It matches the Rfam family "Bacterial small subunit ribosomal RNA", at positions 524 to 776 of the family's 1533-position model. The record is from RNAcentral.